GAUGAACGCUGGCGGCGUGCCUAACACAUGCAAGUCGAGCGAACAGACGAGGAGCUUGCUGCUCUGACGUGAGCGGCGGACGGGUGAGUAGCACGUGAAUAACCUACCUAUACGAGUGGGAUAACGGCGGGAAACCGGAGUUAAUACCGGGUAAUAUAUUGAACCGCAUGGGUCGAUAGUGAAAGACGGUGUUGGUGUCACUUAUAGAUGGAUCCGCGCCGCAUUAGCUAGUUGGUAAGGUAACGGCUUACGAAGGCCAGGAUGCGCAGGCGAGCUGAGAGAGUGAUCGGCGACACUAGAGCGGAGACGCCGUCCAGACUCCUGCGAGAGGCAGCAGUAGGGAAUCUUCCGCAGUAGGCGAGAGCUUGGCGGAGCAGCGCCACGUGAGUGAUGAAGGUCUUCCGAUCGUGAUACUCUGUUAUUAGUGGAGAACAAAUGUCUAAGUAACUAUACACGUCGUGACGGUACCUAAUCAGAAAGCCACGGCUAACUACGUG
This 497-nucleotide ribosomal RNA is filed under the name uncultured bacterium. RNAcentral's name for it is "partial 16S ribosomal RNA". It matches the Rfam family "Bacterial small subunit ribosomal RNA", at positions 28 to 507 of the family's 1533-position model. The record is from RNAcentral.